GUCCACGCCCUAAACGAUGGGCACUAGGUGUGAGGACUCUUUAAUGUCCUCGUGCCGUAGCUAACGCAUUAAGUGCCCCACCUGGGAAGUACGGCCGCAAGGUUGAAACUCAAAUGAAUUGACGGGGGCCCGCACAAGCGGUGGAGCAUGUGGUUUAAUUCGACGCAACGCGAAGAACCUUACCUAGGCUUGACAUCUGGAGAAUCCCCUGGAAACAGGGGAGUGCCCGCAAGGGAGCUCCAAGACAGGUGCUGCAUGGCUGUCGU
Molecule: ribosomal RNA, 266 nt
Filed under: uncultured bacterium
Lineage: Bacteria
Description: partial 16S ribosomal RNA
Rfam family: Bacterial small subunit ribosomal RNA
Source: RNAcentral